AUAAUAUUCUUCAAGAGAUUUACAGAGUCCCUUGAGUGAAUUGUUGGUUUGUUCUUAGUACUGAAUUUCCUAUUCAAAUUUAUUUAGAAGUUCAUUUCUUACAGUGAUCUCAUCUCCUAUUAAGAUAUUCUUCAAGAUCUGGAGGCCAUCCUUUAAGCUUCUUGCAACAGUCUGGGAGCAAAGAGUCUACUCGCCACUGGGUAGUGGGCCAUGGACACCCCAGUCUCCACCAGAAGUUCGGGAUUGCAAAAUGGGACUCUGGCAGCAAAUUUCAAACUGUAUGCCAGACCUGGCCCUUUGCAGGUGUCUGGAAAGAUGGCUGAAUAGGAACAGCUCCGCUCUGCAGCUCCCAGCGAGAUCAACGCAGAAGGAGAUAAUUUCUGCAUUUCCAACUAAGGUACCCAGCUCAUCUCAUUGGGACUGGUUAGACAGUGGGUGCAGCCCACAGAAGGCAAGCAGAAGCAGGGUGGGGUGUCACCUCACCCGGGAAGCACAAGGGGUCAGAGAACUCCCUCCCCUAGCCAAGGGAAGCCGUGAGGGACUGUGCCGUGAGGAACGGGGCAUUCCGGCACAGAUACUAUGCUUUCCCCAUGGUCUUUGCAACCCACAGACCAGGAGAUUCCCUUGGGUGCCUACACCACCAGGGCCCUGGGUUUUAAGCAAAAAACUGGGCUGCCAUUUGGGUAGACACUGAGCUAGCAGCAGGAGUUUUUUUCAUACCCUAGUAGCCCCUAGAAUGCCAGCGAGACAGAACUGUUCACUCCCCUGGAAAGGGGCACUGAAGCCAGGAAGCCAAGUGUUCUAGCUCAGUAGAUCCCACCCCUACGGAGCCCAGCAAGCUGAGACCCACUGGGUUGAAAUUCUCGCUGCCAGCACAGCAGUCUGAUGUCCACCUGGAAUGCUUGAGCUUGGUGCAGGGAGGGGCGUCUGCCAUUACUGAGGCUUGAUUAGGCAGUUUCCCCCUCACAGUGUAAACAAAGCUAUUGGGAAGUUUGAACUGGGUGGAGCCCACUGCAGCUCAGCAAAGUUGCUGUAGCAAGAGUGUCUCUCUAGAUUCCUCCUCUCUGAGCAGGACAUCUCUGAAACAAAGACAGCAGCCCCAGUCAGGGACUUAUAGAUAAAACUCCCAUCUCCCUGGGACAGAGCACCUGAGGGAAGGGGCAGCUGUGGGCACAGCUUCAGGACACUUAAACGUUCCUGCCUGCUGGCUCUGAAGAAAGCAGCAGAUCUCCCAGCACAGUGAUCGAGUUCUGCUAAGGGACAGACUGCCUCCUCAAGUGGGUCCCUGACCCCUGUGCCUCCGGAGUGGGAGAGACCUUCCAGCAGGGGUCGACAGACAUCUGGUUGGUGCCCCUCUGAGAUGAAGCUUCCAGAGGAAGGAACAGGCAGCAAUCUGUGCUGUUCUGUGGCCUGCGCUGGUGAUACCCAGGUAAACAGGAUCUGGAGUGGAUCUCCAGCAAACUCCAGCAGACCUGCAGCAGAGGGGCCUGACUGUUAGAAGGAAAACUAACACACAGAAAGGAAUAGCAUCAACAUCAACAAAAAGGACAUCCACACAAAAACCCCAUCUGAAGGUCACCAGCAUCAAAGACCAAAGGUGGAUAAAUCCACGAAGAUGAGGAAAAACCAGCGCAAAAAGGCUGAAAAUUCCAAAAACCAGAACACCUUUUCUCCUGCAAAGGAUCACAACUCCUUGCCAGCAGGAGAACAAAACCAGAUGGAGAAUGAGUUUGACGAAUUUACAGAAGGAGGCUUCAGAAGGUGGGUAAUAACAAACUCCUCUGAGCUAAAGGAGCAUGUUCUAGCCCAAUGCAAGGAAGCUAAAAAUGAAAAAAGGCUGUAGGAAUUGCUAACUAGAAUAACCACUUUAGAGAAGAACAUAAAUGAUCUGAUGGAGCUGAAAAACACAGCACGAGAACUUCGUGAAGCAUACAGAAGUAUCAAUAGCUGAAUCAAUCAAGCAGAAGAAAGGAUAUCAGAGAUUGAAGAUCAACUUAAUGACAUAAAGUGUGAAGUCAAGAUUAGAGAAAAAAAGAAUGAAAAGGAACGAACAAAGCCUCCAAGAAAAUGGGACUAUGUGAAAAGACCAAACCUAUGUUUAAUUGGUGUACCUGAAAGUGCUGGGGAGAAUAGAACCAAGUUUGAAAACACUCUUAGGAUAUUACCCAGGAGAACUUCCCCAACCUAGCAAGACAGGCCAAUAUUCAAAUCAGUAAAUACAGAGAACACCACAAAGAUACUCCUUGAGAAGAGCAACCCCAAGACACAUAAUCAUCAGAUUCACCAAGGAUGAAAUGAAGAAAAAAAUGUUAAGAGCAGCCAGAGAGAAAGGUCGGCUUACUCACAAAGGGAAGCCCAUCAAACUAAUAGCAGAUUUCUCUGCUGAAACCCUACAAGCCAGAAUAGAGUGGGGGCCAAUAUUUAACAUUCUUAAAGAAAAGAAUUUUCAGCCCAGAAUUUCAUAUCCAGCCAAACUAAGCUUCAUAAGCAAAGGAGAAAUAAAAUCCUGAGAGACAAGCAAAUGCUGAGCGAUUUUGUCACCACCAGGCCUGCCUUGCAAGAGCUCCAGAAGGCAGCACUAAACACAUAAAGGAAAAACCAGUACCAGCCACUGCAAAAACAUAACAAACUGUAAAGACCACUGACACUAUGAAGAAACUGCAUCAACUAACAGGCAAAAUAACCAACUAGCAUCAUAAUGACAGGAUCAGAUUAACACAUAACAAUAUUAACCUUAAAUGUAAAUGGGCUAAAUGCCACAAUUAAAAGAUAGAGACUGGCAAAUUGGAUAAAGAGUCAAAACCCAUCAUUGUGCUGUAUUCAGGAGACCCAUCUCACGCGUAAAGACACACAUAGGCUCAAAAUAAAGGGAUGGAGGAAUAUUUACCAAGCAAAUGG
Long non-coding RNA from Pongo pygmaeus (Bornean orangutan), 2898 nucleotides. RefSeq lists it as uncharacterized. The record is from RefSeq and is a predicted model, not a curated record. The transcript is spliced from 3 exons. Lineage: Eukaryota; Metazoa; Chordata; Mammalia; Primates; Hominidae.